GGAAAUGUGCCCGAACCCAGGGAUCACUAUGAUAAAGUGAGCAUAGAGGUAACCAGUCCUCUCAUUUCCU
RNAcentral lists this transfer RNA (70 nucleotides) under Remiz consobrinus (Chinese penduline-tit). Its description in RNAcentral is "tRNA-Ile". Lineage: Eukaryota; Metazoa; Chordata; Aves; Passeriformes; Paridae. The record is from RNAcentral.